GGGCCCAUGGUCUAGCGGCAUGACGUCUCGUUGACGUCGAGGAGGUCGCCGGUUCGAUAAUAAGGGUUGCACCCUUAUCAACCCGCGGCGGGCAAAAGCCUACCAAUACGAAAAUCCGGCUGGGCCCA
RNAcentral lists this transfer RNA (128 nucleotides) under Candidatus Woesearchaeota archaeon. Its description in RNAcentral is "tRNA-Val". Lineage: Archaea; Nanobdellati; Candidatus Woesearchaeota. The record is from RNAcentral.